Molecule: transfer RNA, 67 nt
Filed under: Peirates arcuatus
Lineage: Eukaryota; Metazoa; Arthropoda; Insecta; Hemiptera; Reduviidae
Description: tRNA-Asn
Source: RNAcentral
UUAGCAGAAGCCAAAAUAAAGAGGCAUUCCAUUGUUAAUGGAAAAACUGGCUUUUAGCCCUACUAAA